CAAUAGCGUAUAUUAAAGUUGUUGCGGUUAAAAAGCUCGUAGUUGGAUUUCUGCUGAGAACGACCGGUCCGCCCUCUGGGUGUGUAUCUGGCUCUUUCUUGGCAUCUUCUUGGUGAACGUUGCUGCACUUGACUGUGUGGAGCGCUACCCAGGACUUUUACUUUGAGGAAAUUAGAGUGUUUCAAGCAGGCAUACGCCUUGAAUACAUUAGCAUGGAAUAAUAAGAUAGGACCUCGGUUCUAUUUUGUUGGUUUCUAGAGCUGAGGUAAUGAUUAAUAGGGAUAGUUGGGGGCAUUCGUAUUUAACUGCCAGAGGUGAAAUUCUUGGAUUUGUUAAAGACGGACUACUGCGAAAGCAUUUGCCAAGGAUGUUUUCAUUGA
This 380-nucleotide ribosomal RNA is filed under the name uncultured eukaryote. Its description in RNAcentral is "partial 18S ribosomal RNA". It matches the Rfam family "Eukaryotic small subunit ribosomal RNA", at positions 592 to 976 of the family's 1831-position model. The record is from RNAcentral.